This is a long non-coding RNA of Hordeum vulgare subsp. vulgare (domesticated barley), 479 nucleotides long. RefSeq lists it as uncharacterized. The record is from RefSeq and is a predicted model, not a curated record. The transcript has 2 exons. Lineage: Eukaryota; Viridiplantae; Streptophyta; Magnoliopsida; Poales; Poaceae.
UGGAAAAACGACUUGUUGCUCAUUUCCAAGAUGGAAAGGUAGUCUCUCAACUGCUGGAUCACGAUACUGAAGAUCAAACUGAAAUAUCCUCCAACAUGCUUCUGAUGUUGAUAUGUAUCUCAUCUCUAGGUACUUGAUUGAUCUGGACCUAUUGCACCACUCGACAUUUAUAUGAGCUUGAAAUUUGACCAGAAGAUUCCGGUUGUAUGGCACGACAAAUCUGUUGUCGAGCAUCACUCCUCCCUUUUUGAUCUGCCUUCCGUCAUCCCUCCUUUUAUAUACUGUAAACCCAUCCUCGUCAAUGGUAGUACUGACAUUGUAUCUUUUUGGGAAAUGCUUGGUGCAUCUAUGGUCCACCAUGCAUGGUGAGUUUUUCUUAGCCUCUCCGCACGGGCCAUGCAUCAUGAAGUUCUCAACAGCUUCAAAUGCCUCCGGAUCCUCAUCCUUGUUUGGGAUCUCAGCGCUUAUUAUUUUGUCGA